GAGACCCACGCCCACAGUUGCCAGCGUACUCUCCGGAGUGACGGGUACACUGUGGGGACCGCCGCUGCUAAAGCGGAGGAAGGAAUGGGCAACGGUAGGUCAGCAUGCCCCGAAUUAUCCGGGCUACACGCGGGCUACAAUGGUCAGGACAAUGGGUAUCGACACCGAGAGGUGAAGGCAAUCUCUUAAACCUGUCCUUAGUUCGGAUUGUGGGCUGCAACUCGCCCACAUGAAGCUGGAAUUCGUAGUAAUCGCGUCUCAAAAUGGCGCGGUGAAUAU
RNAcentral lists this ribosomal RNA (279 nucleotides) under uncultured archaeon. Its description in RNAcentral is "partial 16S rRNA". It matches the Rfam family "Archaeal small subunit ribosomal RNA", at positions 1047 to 1325 of the family's 1478-position model. The record is from RNAcentral.